This 809-nucleotide long non-coding RNA is filed under the name Theobroma cacao (cacao). RNAcentral's name for it is "long non-coding RNA (TCAC_LNC002773)". Lineage: Eukaryota; Viridiplantae; Streptophyta; Magnoliopsida; Malvales; Malvaceae. The record is from RNAcentral.
CAAUUUCCCACGUCCACUUAGUUUUUGACUUUGCUAAAAAAGGGGGUUUCUUUUGGUUUUAUGAAAUACUCCACAGAGGUUAGAAUCCUGGUAAAGCUCUGCAAAUUUGUCUAUCAGAACAAUUUUCGUAACCUCUACCUGUUGUUUGCCUUAACAAUAUUUAUUUAUUUUGAGAUAUUUGUUGCAGCAGAAUGUUGAAGACAAAUACCAGGUGAAGGAAGACUAUCCAACCAGAGAACUAAUGUCCUAAAAAUAGAAUCCUGAAUAUAUGACAAAACGCCAUUGUUGAACCAUUGUAAGCCCAAAGACACAGAGUCCGAUAGAAGCCCAGUUCUUGACUUGUCUGGGGUUCCAAAAUUCUUGUACCUGGGCCACAUUCUAGCCCGUCCGAGCUGAUCCCCACCAGUCUUUUGUCCAUCGACUGAACCGAAGGCUGAAAGAGAACGAAGUAGGCAGGCAGGCAGGCAAUGAUUGACAACUUUGACCUGGUUGAGCCCUGGUGAAGUGAUGUGGUCUCAACAUAUGCGCAUGCAUUUUUUCUUUUUAGCAAAGGUCAAAAACACAUGUUUUCGUAUCUCAAAAUGCAGGGGAGGCUGGACUUAUGGCUUAUCCCAUGUGGGGAUGGGUUGCAUAUUCCUUAACGAAAUGAGAAGUUCGUUGACUUAUCUCAAUACGCUUUCCUUGUAUUUCCUGUGUGCUCUGUCAGAAUUUAAUCUACUGAUCAAAGGGAAAAAGGUAAGAAAAAACCAGGGAAUAAGAGUACACCAUGCCAAUGGCUCUAAUUGAGAGUAGAACUCCAAUUCAAGCCC